CACUAUCGUUAACUGAAUACAUAGGUUAACGAGGCGAACCGGGGGAACUGAAACAUCUAAGUACCCCGAGGAAAAGAAAUCAACCGAGAUUCCCCCAGUAGCGGCGAGCGAACGGGGAGCAGCCCAGAGUCUGAAUCAGCUUGUGUGUUAGUGGAACGGUCUGGAAAGUCCGACGGUACAGGGUGAUAGUCCCGUACACCAAAAUGCACAGGUUGUGAACUCGAAGAGUAGGGCGGGACACGUGGUAUCCUGUCUGAAUAUGGGGGGACCAUCCUCCAAGGCUAAAUACUCCUGACUGACCGAUAGUGAACCAGUACCGUGAGGGAAAGGCGAAAAGAACCCCGGCGAGGGGAGUGAAAAAGAACCUGAAACCGUGUACGUACAAGCAGUGGGAGCACCUUCGGGUGUGACUGCGUACCUUUUGUAUAAUGGGUCAGCGACUUAUAUUCUGUAGCAAGGUUAACCGUAUAGGGGAGCCGCAGGGAAACCGAGUCUUAACUGGGCGUUAAGUUGCAGGGUAUAGACCCGAAACCCGGUGAUCUAGCCAUGGGCAGGUUGAAGGUUGGGUAACACUAACUGGAGGACCGAACCGACUAAUGUUGAAAAAUUAGCGGAUGACUUGUGGCUGGGGGUGAAAGGCCAAUCAAACCGGGAGAUAGCUGGUUCUCCCCGAAAGCUAUUUAGGUAGCGCCUCGUGAAUUCAUCUUCGGGGGUAGAGCACUGUUUCGGCUAGGGGGUCAUCCCGACUUACCAACCCGAUGCAAACUACGAAUACCGAAGAAUGUUAUCACGGGAGACACACGGCGGGUGCUAACGUCCGUCGUGAAGAGGGAAACAACCCAGACCGCCAGCUAAGGUCCCAAAGUCAUGGUUAAGUGGGAAACGAUGUGGGAAGGCACAGACAGCCAGGAUGUUGGCUUAGAAGCAGCCAUCAUUUAAAGAAAGCGUAAUAGCUCACUGGUCGAGUCGGCCUGCGCGGAAGAUGUAACGGGGCUAAACCAUGCACCGAAGCUGCGGCAGCGACACUAUGUGUUGUUGGGUAGGGGAGCGUUCUGUAAGCCUGCGAAGGUGUGCUGUGAGGCAUGCUGGAGGUAUCAGAAGUGCGAAUGCUGACAUAAGUAACGAUAAAGCGGGUGAAAAGCCCGCUCGCCGGAAGACCAAGGGUUCCUGUCCAACGUUAAUCGGGGCAGGGUGAGUCGACCCCUAAGGCGAGGCCGAAAGGCGUAGUCGAUGGGAAACAGGUUAAUAUUCCUGUACUUGGUGUUACUGCGAAGGGGGGACGGAGAAGGCUAUGUUAGCCGGGCGACGGUUGUCCCGGUUUAAGCAUGUAGGCUG
This 1335-nucleotide ribosomal RNA is filed under the name Klebsiella pneumoniae. RNAcentral's name for it is "partial 23S ribosomal RNA". It matches the Rfam family "Bacterial large subunit ribosomal RNA", at positions 146 to 1527 of the family's 2925-position model. Lineage: Bacteria; Pseudomonadati; Pseudomonadota; Gammaproteobacteria; Enterobacterales; Enterobacteriaceae. RNAcentral also lists the same sequence under 1 other name. The record is from RNAcentral.